Hippopotamus amphibius kiboko is the source of this 608-nucleotide long non-coding RNA. RefSeq lists it as uncharacterized. The record is from RefSeq and is a predicted model, not a curated record. Lineage: Eukaryota; Metazoa; Chordata; Mammalia; Artiodactyla; Hippopotamidae. The transcript has 4 exons.
AUACUCAGAUAUGAAUAAUUUACACAAGGACAAGAAGAAAGCCCUGCUCUAGCUCAGACUGCUGAAGGUAACAGGCCCUGAUGGCCUUGCCUGCUUUGCCAAUGCCAGCCCAUCAAUGCCUGAAAUCUCUGUUUCUUCACCAUCAGGGUUGGGUUAGCCAGUGAAUCUGGCUCCACAAACUCCCCACAUAAAGAAAGAGGAAACUGGCUGGCUUCUGAGGAAUGACAACUUCCAAUAGGCAAAAACCACCAUCAAGUGGGCUGGGGAUUUCUAAUGGCCAGGCCUCCUUCUCCACCUCUUCCUAAGCCCAGCAACUUUAAGAAUGUAGCCCUCUGGGUUCCAGAUUCCAGGUCCUGCAUUCCAUCUUCAAGACAAACACCUUUUCCACCUACACCGCUAUCUUCCCUGCUCCCAUUCCACCAUGCUCACUGUGAUGCAAAUUCUCCAUAAGGGAAGCAUGUGGCAGGGUGGAUUUGGCAUGGACACAGAUUAAGGUGCUCUCCCAUGCGUGGCACCUAGAAGGCAUCAGUGUACGUGUGCUGCUCACGAAGGGGUGGAUUGUGCCACCCGUCUCUGUCACCCACACAGCUUCUCUGGAAUAAACGUUA